AGAGUUUGAUCCUGGCUCAGAACGAACUUUGGCGGCGUGGAUAAGACAUGCAAGUCGAACGAGAGAAUUGCUAGCUUGCUAAUAAUUCUCUAGUGGCGCACGGGUGAGUAAUACGUGAGUAACCUGCCCCCGAGAGCGGGAUAGCCCUGGGAAACUGGGAUUAAUACCGCAUAGUAUCGAAAGAUUAAAGCAGCAAUGCGCUUGGGGAUGGGCUCGCGGCCUAUUAGUUAGUUGGUGAGGUAACGGCUCACCAAGGCGAUGACGGGUAGCCGGUCUGAGAGGAUGUCCGGCCACACUGGAACUGAGACACGGUCCAGACACCUACGGGUGGCAGCAGUCGAGAAUCAUUCACAAUGGGGGAAACCCUGAUGGUGCGACGCCGCGUGGGGGAAUGAAGGUCUUCGGAUUGUAAACCCCUGUCAUGUGGGAGCAAAUUAAAAAGAUAGUACCACAAGAGGAAGAGACGGCUAACUCUGUGCCAGCAGCCGCGGUAAUACAGAGGUCUCAAGCGUUGUUCGGAAUCACUGGGCGUAAAGCGUGCGUAGGCUGUUUCGUAAGUCGUGUGUGAAAGGCGCGGGCUCAACCCGCGGACGGCACAUGAUACUGCGAGACUAGAGUAAUGGAGGGGGAACCGGAAUUCUCGGUGUAGCAGUGAAAUGCGUAGAUAUCGAGAGGAACACUCGUGGCGAAGGCGGGUUCCUGGACAUUAACUGACGCUGAGGCACGAAGGCCAGGGGAGCGAAAGGGAUUAGAUACCCCUGUAGUCCUGGCAGUAAACGGUGCACGCUUGGGGUGCGGGGGAAACCACCCUCUGCGUGCCGGAAGCUAACCCGAUAAACGUGCCGCCUGGGGAGUACGGUCGCAAGAAUUAAAAUUCAAAAGAAAAUUUGACGGGGACCCGCACAAGCGGUGGAGUAUGUGGCUUAAUUCGAUGCAACGCGAAGAACCUUACCUGGGCUUGACAUGUAAUGAACAACAUGUGAAAGCAUGCGACUCUUCGGAGGCGUUACACAGGUGCUGCAUGGCCGUCGUCAGCUCGUGUCGUGAGAUGUUUGGUUAAGUCCAGCAACGAGCGCAACCCCUGUUGCCAGUUACCAGCACGUGAAGGUGGGGACUCUGGCGAGACUGCCCAGAUCAACUGGGAGGAAGGUGGGGACGACGUCAGGUCAGUAUGGCCCUUAUGCCCAGGGCUGCACACGUACUACAAUGCCCAGUACAGAGGGGGCCGAAGCCGCGAGGCGGAGGAAAUCCUGAAAACUGGGCCCAGUUCGGACUGUAGGCUGCAACCCGCCUACACGAAGCCGGAAUCGCUAGUAAUGGCGCAUCAGCUACGGCGCCGUGAAUACGUUCCCGGGUCUUGCACUCACCGCCCGUCA
This 1376-nucleotide ribosomal RNA is filed under the name uncultured bacterium. Its description in RNAcentral is "bacterial SSU rRNA". It matches the Rfam family "Bacterial small subunit ribosomal RNA". The record is from RNAcentral.